Molecule: ribosomal RNA, 440 nt
Filed under: Vibrio cholerae 12129(1)
Lineage: Bacteria; Pseudomonadati; Pseudomonadota; Gammaproteobacteria; Vibrionales; Vibrionaceae
Description: bacterial LSU rRNA
Rfam family: Bacterial large subunit ribosomal RNA
Source: RNAcentral
CCCAAGAGUUCAUAUCGACGGCGGUGUUUGGCACCUCGAUGUCGGCUCAUCACAUCCUGGGGCUGAAGUCGGUCCCAAGGGUAUGGCUGUUCGCCAUUUAAAGUGGUACGCGAGCUGGGUUUAGAACGUCGUGAGACAGUUCGGUCCCUAUCUGCCGUGGGCGUUGGAAGAUUGAAGGGGGCUGCUCCUAGUACGAGAGGACCGGAGUGGACGAACCUCUGGUGUUCGGGUUGUGUCGCCAGACGCAUUGCCCGGUAGCUAAGUUCGGAAUUGAUAAGCGCUGAAAGCAUCUAAGCGCGAAGCGAGCCCUGAGAUGAGUCUUCCCUGAUACUUUAAGUAUCCUAAAGGGUUGUUCGAGACUAGAACGUUGAUAGGCAGGGUGUGUAAGCGUUGUGAGGCGUUGAGCUAACCUGUACUAAUUGCCCGUGAGGCUUAACCAU